This 686-nucleotide ribosomal RNA is filed under the name Trichuris arvicolae. RNAcentral describes it as "12S ribosomal RNA". Lineage: Eukaryota; Metazoa; Nematoda; Enoplea; Trichinellida; Trichuridae. The record is from RNAcentral.
UAAAGUAUCUUUUAGCUUAACAAAUUUUUGAUAAAUUUUUUUUGAUGUAGUUAUACACAAAAUAAUACUAUGCAAUAAAAAAUGACAUGUAAACACUAAAAAUGAUCUAUAGGUGUGCCAGCUAUCGCGGUUAUACCCUAAUAUUACAUUUGAUUCUUGAUACUAUAUAAUAUGAAAUUUUAUUUUAUUAUAAAACAAAGAAGUGAAAUUAUAUUUUUACAUAUAAAAUAUUUUAUAUAGUCAAAUUUAGAUUAAAAACUAGGAUUAGAGACCCUAUUAUUCUAAAUUUUAGAAAUAAAGAAGUACAUUUAUAAAUAAACUUAAUUAAGAUGGCGGUAAAAUUUUCAUUAGAGGAGACUGUUCUGUAAUCGAUAACCCUCGUUUAGUCCUUUUUAUUUUAUUGUGUAUAUCGCCGUUGAAAUCUAAUUUUAGAUUAGAUUGUUUUAAUUAUGAUUUAUGUCAACAGGUCAAGAUACAAAUAAUAAAAAAGUAUGAAAUGGUCUACAAUUAAAUAUUAUUUUAUUAAAAUACAAUAUUAUUAACUUAUUUGUAUUUUAAAGGAUUUAUUAGUAAUUUUGGCUAAUUAUAUAACAAUAUGAUUAUUUAUAAUUUUAUGCACAUAUCGCCCGUCACCCUCGUGAGAGGUAAGUCGUAACAAAGUAGAUUUUUUGGAAAAAGAAUCUAGU